GAUAAGGCCCGCAACUACAGCUUUAAAAGUACUCGUAUAAUUGUUUGUCUUUAUUUCUGCAGCUUCUCUCUCCUGAUCUCCUCCAGUAUCACUCUCUCUCUCCUCUGUCGUUCUUCUUCAUCUUCUCUUAGGGUUUGAUUAGUCUGAUUUUAUGGCCUUGAAUCCCAUCAAUUUUUCAAUCUCUUUCUCUAUAAUAUGCUGCUUUCGAUUCUAUAUUCGUUCAAGACAUGCUGAUUUGUUGCUUUUUUUGGCGAACUGAUUUUUUUCGUUGAGUUGGGCGGAACUGAAUUGAUUCAGCAUUCAGAAUUGAUUCGGAUUUGGUGGUUUUUAAUUCUUGUGAAUCAAUCGUUGAAUUUUGUGUUGAUAUUCAAAAUUGCGAUGAUAUUUUUGGCUCAUUAUUGUUGUUGUUGUUCUUAGUCUAGGGUUUCGCGAUUUCAUCGUUUUGCGGCUACCUACGGUCCCAAAAUUGCUGCACAGCAUGUCCCUUGCUCAGAUCUUGAUAUUUGGUGUGUUCUUAACGCUAUUUCGAACAAUUCUCGUAUGCGGUCUCAGGUAAUUGAUUUGUGAGACUGAUAUAUGAUUUUUUUUUUAGUAUGCGAAUUGGUAAGUUGUUAGGGUUCUUCAAUUUUUUGUGGGUUUUUUUUUUCAAUUUAUUGUGGGUUUUAAUUUUGAUAAUUUAUUUCCGUGAUUAUGCUUCAUUGAGUGUUGGCAGAUCCAGUGCCCCAGCGGUGUAAAUUUUUAAGUACCUUGGCUUCUUUAUCUACAAUGUUCCUAGUUUCCUAAUAGGCUCCUACCAUGUGCGUGACGAAGAGCUUUCAUCUUUCUCUCCCAGAAAUUAUACUUCUGUUAGUGUCUCGCCAUAAAGACGAAUGUUUGAGGGUCAUUUGUUGGUAAAUUAACGAGAUUUGGGCCUAGCUCAGGGUUGUGUACAAUGCGCCGCUAAUCUAAGAACAAAUGAAAAAUCUCAACUCCAUGUUAGGAUUGAUGAAGCUACGUGUAGACACUAAGGUCAUUAAAUGAGAUUAAUUCACAAAAAAGAGUCUUGAUGUUAAGUUUUAAAGAGGAAAUAUCUCAGUUUCUCACUCAUUCUAUUUAUGCUCACAAGCUAUUGAAGCUCUUGACAUAAGUACACGCUUUAUAUAUUAACAAAGCUACUUAAUAUUGGCCCUUGGUAUACAAAUUGAAGUGAUUCUUUUACGAGUUUUGACUCAGAAGUUACGAAGAGGAGCCACAGUCAGUUUCUGUUUAUUGACAUAAGCUAAUGAAAGUUCUUAAAAUAGUAGAUAACUAGAUACAUAUAUAUAAGGAGACUACAUUAUGAUUACUAAACACUAGUGACCCCUCUAAAAAUCUGUCGUUGAUUUACAACUUGGAUGGCUUGCUUGUUUACAAAACAAAUGGACUUUAGAAUUCAAUCUUUUGUUCAGGCCUUGUCUCAUGGCUGCCAGAGUGCCAGACACUAGCAGCUUGUGUUAAUAUUGCAGCAGCAUCAGCCUUCAUGGCUGUGAGCUUGUUAAGUUCCCUCAGAUUAACUUCUUCAAUACUUGUCUAGUGUUUCCCCGUUGUUUUUAUUAUUCAAUUUUUCAUUUACUAUAUUGCUUUUGAUCUGGGUGUUCAAUGAAAUGUGCUUCCUCUGUCUAAUAAAUGGUAGGAUUUUCCAAUGAAGUGUGCUUCCUCUAUCUAAUAAGUGAUAGAGGCUCUUUCUUUCGCUUCUCUUUCUUUCCCUUCAACUCUUUAAAAAUGUGUAUUCAGAAUCUUAUACUCUCGAAAGUCCUUAUAAUGGUAACCGAGAAGAAAGUAAAAUUCAAGUACAGUAUAAGGAGUCAAGAAUAAUGUUAACAUAAGAUAAUAUAAUGCCAACACAAUGUCUCAAGUUAAGAAACUUAAUACAAUUCUUGCUCAAACUCACAAGACUUGGCUGAAGAUAACUUGCUCUUCUUUUAUCCUCACCUAUAUUCUGGCAUUUUCUAACGUCUGUCUACUUCUUUAAUAUGCCUUUUUGCUUCUUUAAUCAAAUCUUUGAUUGGGAGGAAGGGAUUUUUGUUAAUCAAAUCUUUGUAAACUAGAACUUAUACUUUUCUCUAAAGCUUAGUCGAAUUCCAAAGGUUUCCCUUCAUCUUUCAUUUUCUGCUUUUAUGGUUAUUUAUAGCUAACCUUUAGAAAACUGAUCAGGAGUUGAAGAUAAAUCAGAUACCAAGCAUCUUGGAGUUACUUUGUAUUUUUCAAAUAAAUCUGUUGUACUUAUGUUGUUUGCUAGAUGUUGAAGCGUUUGGCCUGUAUGUCUAUUUUGGUGUUGCUAUAGUUCUAGUCUACUGUAGGAUCUCUGGAAAAGGUUGGAGUCAAAGUUAGAGCUUAUUUUCUAUCCCUUCCCCCCCCCCCCUCUUUUUUGUUUCAUGUACUCUUAAUCUGCAUUAUAUAUAUUUGUGGUUUGUCCUUGGGUGAUGCAUUACGUGGACUUCAAAAUCCCACAGGGUAAAAUGGAUAUUUUAUAGUAUAUUGAAUCUCCAAAUGGAGUCAUUGGAUUAGGUGACCAACAUAUAUAAGAAGCAGCAACUAGCAUAGUGAUACGUAUGGUUUUAAAUGCUAUGAUGUUGAACAAGAUAAUGGGUGGGAGAUUGAUACAAAAAUUUUGAUCUCAUGUAAAAAAUUACUAGAUUUUAUAUUAGUAUUUGUUCGUUAUUAAUUUUUGACAUUCUUAUUCUCAAACUAGCAGCCAAAUGGCCUUUAAUUUCAUCCAAGAGUCGGGGCUAGUUGGCUGCGUGGCUCAUGUAAAUCUUGUGGGCCAAUCCAUUAAAUAUCAUCUUUUAAUCUUGAGAUUAUCAUAUAGCUUGUAUUGCAUUAUUGGUGAUUGUCCAACUGCCUUAUCUCACUACUUUAUCUCAUUUUAGUCUAAUGUUCUAAGAACAUAAAUUCAACUAUUCAUGCCCUUAUCUGUCUGAUAGUGUUUAGUGUUCAGUGUGUUUCAUGUGGUAUCAUUCUUGCGCUAGAAGGAACAAAUAGGAGCAUAUGUGAUACUCGUGAAGUUGUAGAAUGUGUUCUUGAAUUUAUUCAAUCUGAUGAACAUCUCAAGGGCCUAAUGUUUCUCCUACAAAGAAGGCUGGCUACAUUAGCCUUAAGAGUGGAAUAAAUUGAUCAGCAACCCAAACACAGUACAUUCUCUAACACGACCUGUUCUUUCUUCCUUUUAAAAUUAUCUGCAGAGCUGAAAUGGAAAUUGUUGGCUAAUUUAGUCGAUUUGAGUCAUUGCUGCUACUGCUCGUCAACGCUGUUGCUGUUGUACACUACUGCUAGACACUUUGCUGUUGUGUUUCUUUUGUUACAUAGGCUGCUAGCCUUGUCUGUCUAUUGCAUACCAUUUAGCAGGUACCAAGAAGAUUCAGCAGGAGCUUGCAAAACCCAAUUGCCAGAAAAUCCAAGGGGUUAUAUUGUGAGUGAUUAAAAUUUACUUGCAUGUCUAGAGAACAUUUAGUUUUGUUAGAAGAUGAACAUUUAACGCUUUUGUUGUGUUUCUUUAGAAGCCUUGUAUUAUAUAUAUAUAUAUAUAUAUUUUUUUUUUUUGAGGGAAUUAUAUUUUUUAAUUUGUAAUUAAUGUAUACUUCAUAAAUAACAUAAAUUUUGUUACAAUAGUAUAUAAAAUAGUUUGUGUAUCAAUUUGGAAAAAUUGCAAUUUUUUUUAUUUAAAAAAAUGACGAUUUGCAACUGG
Chenopodium quinoa (quinoa) is the source of this 3703-nucleotide long non-coding RNA. RefSeq lists it as uncharacterized. Lineage: Eukaryota; Viridiplantae; Streptophyta; Magnoliopsida; Caryophyllales; Amaranthaceae. The record is from RefSeq and is a predicted model, not a curated record. The transcript is spliced from 3 exons.